Molecule: ribosomal RNA, 478 nt
Filed under: uncultured bacterium
Lineage: Bacteria
Description: partial 16S ribosomal RNA
Rfam family: Bacterial small subunit ribosomal RNA
Source: RNAcentral
GACGAACGCUGGCGGCGUGCUUAACACAUGCAAGUCGAACGGUAAGGCCCUUCGGGGUACACGAGUGGCGAACGGGUGAGUAACACGUGGGUGAUCUGCCCUGCACUUCGGGAUAAGCCUGGGAAACUGGGUCUAAUACCGGAUAGGACCCUGGGAUGCAUGUCCUGGGGUGGAAAGCUUUUGCGGUGUGGGAUGGGCCCGCGGCCUAUCUGCUUGUUGGUGGGGUGAUGGCCUACCAAGGCGACGACGGGUAGCCGGCCUGAGAGGGUGAGCGGCCACGCUGGGACUGAGAUACCGCCCAGACUCCUACGGGAGGCAGCAGUGGGGAAUAUUGCACAAUGGGCGCAAGCCUGAUGCAGCGACGCCGCAUGAGGGAUGACAGCCUUCGGGUCGUAAACCUCUUUCAGCACCGACGAAGCGCAAGUGACGGUAGGUGCAGAAGAAGGACCGGCCAACUACGUGCCAGCAGCCGCGGUAA